Molecule: ribosomal RNA, 497 nt
Filed under: uncultured bacterium
Lineage: Bacteria
Description: partial 16S ribosomal RNA
Rfam family: Bacterial small subunit ribosomal RNA
Source: RNAcentral
GAUGAACGCUGGCGGCGUGCCUAAUACAUGCAAGUCGAGCGAACGGACGAGAAGCUUGCUUUUCUGACGUUAGCGGCGGACGGGUGAGUAACACGUGGAUAACCUACCUAUAAGACUGGGAUAACUUCGGGAAACCGGAGCUAAUACCGGAUAAUAUUUUGAACCGCAUGGUUCAAAAGUGAAAGACGGUCUUGCUGUCACUUAUAGAUGGAUCCGCGCUGCAUUAGCUAGUUGGUAAGGUAACGGCUUACCAAGGCAACGAUGCAUAGCCGACCUGAGAGGGGGAUCGGCCACACUGGAACUGAGACACGGUCCAGAGUCCUACGGGAGGCAGCAGUAGGGAAUCUUCCGCAAUGGGCGAAAGCCUGACGGAGCAACGCCGCGUGAGUGAUGAAGGUCUUCGGAUCGUAAAACUCUGUUAUUAGGGAAGAACAUAUGUGUAAGUAACUGUGGACAUCGUGACGGUACCUAAUCAGAAAGCAACGGCUAACUACGUG